This 404-nucleotide ribosomal RNA is filed under the name uncultured bacterium. RNAcentral's name for it is "bacterial LSU rRNA". It matches the Rfam family "Bacterial large subunit ribosomal RNA", at positions 625 to 1022 of the family's 2925-position model. The record is from RNAcentral.
GAGUUGCCGUCACCGGCGAGGUUAAGUGUGAUGACACACGUUAUCCGCAGUGAAAGCGAGCCUGAAUAGGGCGCAGAGUCGGUGGAGGCAGACGCGAAACCAAGUGAUCUACACUUGUCCAGGAUGAAGUCCCGGUAACUACGGGAUGGAGGUCCGAACCAAUAAGCGUUGAAAAGCUUCUGGAUGAGGUGAGUGUAGGAGUGAAAGGCCAAUCAAACUUGGAGAUAGCUCGUACUCCCCGAAAGGCAUUUAGGUGCCGCGUAUGGCGGUCACCGUGAGAGGUAGAGCGACCGAUAGGAUGCGAGGGGCUUCACCGCCUAUCAAGUCCUGACGAACUCCGAAUGCUCACGGUCAGCAGCCAUGCAGUAAGGGGGCGGUGCUAAGGUCCGUCCCCGAGAGGAGAA